This 440-nucleotide ribosomal RNA is filed under the name uncultured bacterium. RNAcentral's name for it is "partial 16S ribosomal RNA". It matches the Rfam family "Bacterial small subunit ribosomal RNA", at positions 338 to 795 of the family's 1533-position model. The record is from RNAcentral.
CCUACGGGUGGCUGCAGUGGGGAAUAUUGCACAAUGGGGGAAACCCUGAUGCAGCGACGCCGCGUGAGUGAAGAAGUAUUUCGGUAUGUAAAGCUCUAUCAGCAGGGAAGCAAAUGACGGUACCUGACUAAGAAGCCCCGGCUAACUACGUGCCAGCAGCCGCGGUAAUACGUAGGGGGCAAGCGUUAUCCGGAUUUACUGGGUGUAAAGGGAGCGUAGACGGCAGAGCAAGUCUGAAGUGAAAGUCCGGGGCCCAACAGCCGGACUGCUUUGGAAACUGGAAGGCUAGAGUGCCGGAGAGGUAAGCGGAAUUCCUGGUGUAGCGGUGAAAUGCGUAGAUAUUAGGAGGAACACCAGUGGCGAAGGCGGCUUACUGGACUGUCACUGACGUUGAGGCUCGAAAGCGUGGGGAGCAAACAGGAUUAGAUACCCGAGUAGUC